UUCUGUAUCACAAUGAAGAGGCA
RNAcentral lists this non-coding RNA (23 nucleotides) under Cricetulus griseus (Chinese hamster). Lineage: Eukaryota; Metazoa; Chordata; Mammalia; Rodentia; Cricetidae. The record is from RNAcentral.